AUACACAGACAUUUGUUAUGACAGAGUUGGAUUGCAAUAAAAGGUGACUGUUAACCUUAAAACUACCAAGUCUCAGGAGAAUAUGGACUGCGAGUCAUGACACUCUGGAGGGCGCCAUUGUUGCUAUUGUACAUCCACUCAUACAUGUGCAGAAGAA
Long non-coding RNA from Salarias fasciatus (jewelled blenny), 157 nucleotides. RefSeq lists it as uncharacterized. The transcript has 3 exons. The record is from RefSeq and is a predicted model, not a curated record. NCBI's taxonomy places the organism in Eukaryota, Metazoa, Chordata, Actinopteri, Blenniiformes, Blenniidae.